RNAcentral lists this unclassified non-coding RNA (430 nucleotides) under fungal sp. RNAcentral's name for it is "partial internal transcribed spacer region". The stretch from base 1 to 46 matches the Rfam family "Eukaryotic small subunit ribosomal RNA", at positions 1786 to 1831 of the family's 1831-position model. Lineage: Eukaryota; Fungi. The record is from RNAcentral.
AAGUCGUAACAAGGUCUCCGUAGGUGAACCUGCGGAGGGAUCAUUAACACGAAUACACUUGUUUAGUAAAAUAAAUAAGUCGUUUCAAAAACCAACCAAACUCGUGAACUCGAAUUCUUUAUUGAAUUCAUUCGCCCCAUUUUAUAUUACGUUAACAAAGGUUGUAUCAUCGAUUGCGUGUUUAUACCUAUCAAUAUAUGUGAUGGCAUAAUUUAUUAUGCUUAUUGAUAAUCAUAAACUGAUGAUGCUUCUUCGUUUUAUAAAUGGACCCUUUCUUUUCGCAUCACGAAAUAAACAUAACCAACCUAUUUCACCCUAACCAUAUAAACAUUGACUGAUUUUUUUGUAAUUGAUUCAUUUCAAUAACAAAUAAACUCGAUAUCAUCGAAAACUAAAAGCACAACUCUUAGCAACGGAUAUCUUGGUUCUC